Molecule: ribosomal RNA, 460 nt
Filed under: uncultured bacterium
Lineage: Bacteria
Description: partial 16S ribosomal RNA
Rfam family: Bacterial small subunit ribosomal RNA
Source: RNAcentral
CCUACGAGAGGCAGCAGUGAGGAAUAUUGGUCAAUGGGCGCGAGCCUGAACCAGCCAUGUAGCGUGAAGGAUGACUGCCCUACGGGUUGUAAACUUCUUUUAUAAAAGAAUAAAGUGAGACACGUGUGCCUUUUUGUAUGUACUUUAUGAAUAAGGAUCGGCUAACUCCGUGCCAGCAGCCGCGGUAAUACGGAGGAUCCAAGCGUUAUCCGGAUGUAUUGGGUUUAAAGGGAGCGUAGAUGGGUGGUUAAGUCAGUUGUGAAAGGUUGCGGCUCAACCGGAAAAUUGCAAUUGAUACUGGCAAUCUAGAGGACAGUUGAGGUAGGCGGAAUUCGUGGUGUAGCGGUGAAAUGCUUAGAUAUCACGAAGAACUCCGAUUGCGAAGGCAGCUUACUAAACUGCCACUGACAUUGAUGCUCGAAAGUGUGGGUAGCAAACAGGAUUAGAUACCCUAGUAGUC